CGCGCCAAAUUUACCCUGUUUCAAAAAAGACUUAGCAAAAAAAUCCAAAUUUUGAAAACGAAGACUACUAGUCGCUGCGGAGUUCUGUUGUUAUCGCUAUUGUUUUAACUGAACAAAGACUGAAUACAUAAUUAAUGUAUGGGGUUAUAUGGUACUCUUGCCGUAGAUUUUUGCAUGUACGAAAAAGGUUUACAUUGUUUUGUUGGGUAGUUUUUCUUGAUUUAUUUUUUACAUUUCCGAGUUUUCAUUCCCUUGCUGUACUAUUCCUAUCACUUUUGUUGAUGAAAGCAUAAUAAAGAGGGUCGCAUACGGCUCGUGGUGACACACCUCAAUUGCUGUUUCUUAUUGAAUGAUGAAUGUUUUAUAUUCGUUUGAGCGGGAUAGCGAAAUAGAAUAUAAAUUUAUUAUCCAACACGCCAAAUAGUUGUGUCAGUGCGAGCAACUUUCGCGGAUAUUUCUGAAGUAAAAAUAUCGUGUGAUAUUUUUAUUUGUUUCGCACGUUAUUUGUACUCUACGAAGCACAUUUGAAUAAUGAUUUUGCUAUUAUUUGUCGAUGUGAGCUUUGAUUAAUUAACGGAUAAAAGUUAUUGAUCAGACUCCUGGUGCAUCCGUUUGUGCGAGUUUCUCAAGUUAGUUAACCCCAACAGUCUAACAAACACCAUGAGAAAUCAACUUCGGUGAUGUCUUGGCGUCUUGUUGCACUGAUGUUCUCCCAUUGUCAACUUCCGAAGACUGAACAAGUCCAGUACGAUGUUCACUUGUUAUAAUUAGUCGCUCCUCUUGGGAUUGAAUUUUCACAGAGGAAGGAAAGUUGACCAUGCUUCGUCAAAUUCCACUUGAGGUCGUGACACUACAUGGACCAAUCAAAGGCAUCCUGUGGUAAGCUCGUGGAGUAAGUAAGAUACUGUGUCAUGGAGCUGAUAUAAGGGAUUAUAAAGCCUAUAAAGUGGUUGCAAAUGUAGUGUAAUGCAUUUUUCUGUUGUAAGAUUACAUUCGUUUGUUGCAUUUGUUGUAUUUUGACUGUUGUUCAUUGAUUAAUAUACUUUGUCGAGUGGGAGUUUUGAAACCACUCCAGGAGAAGAGUAGUUUAUUCAAGAAAUACUGUACUAGCAAGUAACAGUUUAUUAACAAUAACUGUAAGGGUACAUUUCUUCGUAAACUUAACUAUACUGCAGAACUGAAUGCCAGAAUGUACAUACUAUCGUACUUUAAAGUAUCAAUGGAAACAGGACAAAAUAAAGUUUGUUUGUACCUUGAA
Long non-coding RNA from Stylophora pistillata, 1258 nucleotides. NCBI's taxonomy places the organism in Eukaryota, Metazoa, Cnidaria, Anthozoa, Scleractinia, Pocilloporidae. The record is from RefSeq and is a predicted model, not a curated record.